AUGAGUUGUUUGAGUUGGAACUGCCGGGGGCUUGGGAACCCCCGGGCAGUUCGCGAGCUUCGCAACAUUGUGAAGCAAGAAGGGCCCGAUCUCCUGUUUGUUAUGGAGACAAAAAUUCCAGCAACAAGAGUUGAAAGCUUACAGAAUCUGCUAGGUUUCUCAGGCUGCUAUGCAGUAAGCAGUAGGGGUCUGAGCGGAGGAAUUGGCAUGUUUUGGACCUCGAACCUGGAUGUGGAACUGAAAAAUUAUAGCACCAGCCAUAUUGAUGUACUAGUGCGGAUGAAACACGAUGUCACAAAGCAGUGGCGUGUGAUGGGAUUCUAUGGAGCUCCGAGAGUGGAAGAUCGUUGCCACAGUUGA
Molecule: ribosomal RNA, 360 nt
Filed under: Triticum aestivum (bread wheat)
Lineage: Eukaryota; Viridiplantae; Streptophyta; Magnoliopsida; Poales; Poaceae
Description: partial small subunit ribosomal RNA
Source: RNAcentral